CACGUAGGGGGCGAGCGUUGUCCGGAAUCAUUGGGCGUAAAGGGUGCGUAGGCGGCCGUUUAAGUCCUGUGUGAAAGGCCCCGGCUCAACCGGGGAGGGUCAUGGGAAACUGGACGGCUUGAGUGCCGGAGAGGGUGGCGGAAUUCCCGGUGUAGCGGUGAAAUGCGUAGAUAUCGGGAAGAACACCAGUGGCGAAGGCGGCCACCUGGACGGUGACUGACGCUGAGGCACGACAGCUGGGGGAGCGAACAGG
Molecule: unclassified non-coding RNA, 253 nt
Filed under: uncultured Bacillota bacterium
Lineage: Bacteria; Bacillati; Bacillota
Description: uncultured Firmicutes bacterium contains 16S-23S intergenic spacer region
Rfam family: Bacterial small subunit ribosomal RNA
Source: RNAcentral